Arvicanthis niloticus (Nile rat) is the source of this 366-nucleotide non-coding RNA. Lineage: Eukaryota; Metazoa; Chordata; Mammalia; Rodentia; Muridae. The record is from the annotation of a RefSeq genome assembly.
AUGGCCUGGAAUCUUCUCUUCUUCCUCUUUCUUCACUGUACAGGGUCUUUCUCCCAACCUGUGCUGACACAGUUGCCUUCUGCAGUUGCCUCUCUGGGAGCCUCAGCCAAACUCACCUGCACCUUGAGUCAGGAGCACAGCACCUACAUGAUUUCAUGGUACCAGCAACAUCCAGACAAGGCUCCUAAGUAUUUGAUGUUACUUAACAAUGAUGGAAGCUACAGCAAGGGGGAUGGGGUCCCUGAACGCUUCUCUGGCUCCAGCUCUGGGGCUGAUCGCUAUUUAAGCAUCUCCAACAUCCUGCCAGAGGAUGAAGCUGCCUAUAUCUGUGGUGUAGGUUACAGCAUUGGAGGACAAUAUGGGUAA